This 450-nucleotide ribosomal RNA is filed under the name uncultured bacterium. RNAcentral describes it as "partial 16S ribosomal RNA". It matches the Rfam family "Bacterial small subunit ribosomal RNA", at positions 338 to 795 of the family's 1533-position model. The record is from RNAcentral.
CCUACGGGAGGCUGCAGUAAGGAAUAUUGGUCAAUGGACGCAAGUCUGAACCAGCCAUGCCGCGUGGAGGAUGAAGGUCCUCUGGAUUGUAAACUUCUUUUAUUUGGGAAGAAACCCACGAUUUCUAUUGUGGUUGACGGUACCAGAUGAAUAAGCACCGGCUAACUCCGUGCCAGCAGCCGCGGUAAUACGGAGGGUGCCAGCGUUAUCCGGAUUCACUGGGUCGAAGGCGGGCAGGGAAGGGCGGGUAGAAAUCCCCGAGCUUAACUUGGGAACUGCCGUUGAUACUAUCUGUCUUGAAUACUGUGGAGGUAAGCGGAAUAUGUCAUGUAGCGGUGAAAUGCUUAGAUAUGACAUAGAACACCGAUUGCGAAGGCAGCUUGCUACACAGUCAUUGACGCUGAGGCACGAAAGCGUGGGGAUCAAACAGGAUUAGAUACCCGGGUAGUC